GACGAACGCUGGCGGCGUGCUUAACACAUGCAAGUCGAACGGCAAGGCCCUGCUUUUGUGGGGUGCUCGAGUGGCGAACGGGUGAGUAACACGUGAGUAACCUGCCCUUGACUUUGGGAUAACUUCAGGAAACUGGGGCUAAUACCGGAUAGGAGCUCCUGCUGCAUGGUGGGGGUUGGAAAGUUUCGGCGGUUGGGGAUGGACUCGCGGCUUAUCAGCUUGUUGGUGGGGUAGUGGCUUACCAAGGCUUUGACGGGUAGCCGGCCUGAGAGGGUGACCGGCCACAUUGGGACUGAGAGACGGCCCAGACUCCUACGGGAGGCAGCAGUGGGGAAUAUUGCACAAUGGGCGGAAGCCUGAUGCAGCAACGCCGCGUGCGGGAUGACGGCCUUCGGGUUGUAAACCGCUUUCGCCUGUGACGAAGCGUGAGUGACGGUAAUGGGUAAAGAAGCACCGGCUAACUACGUG
RNAcentral lists this ribosomal RNA (468 nucleotides) under uncultured bacterium. Its description in RNAcentral is "partial 16S ribosomal RNA". It matches the Rfam family "Bacterial small subunit ribosomal RNA", at positions 28 to 507 of the family's 1533-position model. The record is from RNAcentral.